UGCUGAGGGGAGGACGGCUCAUAAUGUCUGGAACGAAGUUAAUGGAAUGGCGUCAAACACGCAGUGGUGAAGGUUGACGGCCCAUUGGUGCCCGAACUCGUCGCAUCAAGCACCCCGUCUGCUAUUGGUGCCCUGUUGAAAGCGAUAUAUGUGUGUGUGGAGCGGCCUGGUCAUCUACCACUCUCAGCAGUCCCUGGAGGAGUAGCUCAUUCAGCGCUGGGGCGGAGGAGCGGAGAUCCACACCUGGUCCUUCCUGCCCCACAGUUCAGGACUGGUUAAGAAGAGCCAUGGGUGCCAGUGGUAUUGGCAGUCGUGUGCACGGAGCGAACCGAGAACAGACUCCCUCAUCCACGCUGUCCUCUACCUGGAGCAGAUGCUAACAACUUGUGGCGGUUGGCAGGAGAGUAAAAGGUGGCACGCGUCAAAGCCCGUCUCCCCCUACGGGUGGAAGUCUCCUUCUCUGAGGACUUUCUGCUCUCACUGCAACAGCACCUCCUGCUGGUCUAAAUUGGCAAGACACAGCUGGCACGAAACUUGCUGCAGGUUAGCCAUCCGGCCUUACAACACUUAUUCAAAGCCACACUUAAGAAAGGGGUUAACUAUACCGUUCAUUGGACAGACAAACUUUGUACUUUCCUCCAAAAAAAGGAAUGAGUGACUUUCCACUUCAAUUCAUCCAUCAUUAUGCUCUCUGACUGGGUGUGCCAGAACCUUUUUAGUGCAUUAGUAGUUUAGAGUUAAAAGCAUAGUUUUAGGAUUUAAUGAGGUUCUGAGGUUCCUUUACUAUAUUUAUAGCCAGCAUCCACACUUCCUUCCUGUUUCUACAGUAAUAUUUCUGACCGCUUCCUGUUUACAGUGUACAGUUGUGGUAGUUCCUCUCAGUGCUGCAGGCAUUUUAUUUCACAUGUACAAUGUAUUGACCAUUUACUAGCACAAACGUUUCAAAACUUGUCUCGUCUUAAAAUGGCUUCCAUGUUGUUGGUUUCUUUGACCAUCCGCAAGUUUUGACGCUUAACCUGCCACCCUAUUCUUCAUUUCUAAACCCAAUAGAAGAAUUAUUUUCAGCAUGGCGUGGAAUAUAUACGAUCGCCAACCCCACCAACGCAUACCUCUUCUCCAGGCGAUGGAGGAGGCCUGUGGUGACAUAGACGAGGGGGCAUGCCAGGGCUAGAUACGCAACUUCAGACACUAUUGCCCCCGCUGUUUAGCCAGAGAGAACAUCGCUUGUGAUGUUGAGGUGCUGUGGCCAGACCCGAAUAGGAGACAGGAUGCACCCUAAUUGUUUUUUUCUUUAUAGUUACAAGCCUAUUUGUUUUGUCAGUUACUGUUCAUCCCAAAAUCUGGAUGAAAAUACAAUGUUUUGAGAAAGAAAUACAUUUUAUUUCCCCCCCCUUGCAUUUCUGUUUAGUGUAAAUAUAUGCUGAAUAUGCAUACAUACUGUAUACAUUUGUGCACCUGUGAGUGCUAUGACAAACUGCCGUGGACUCCACUGAACAUGCAAAAGACACAAGAUGGUAGUGUUUUACAUUUGUCACAUCCGUGUGUGGUUGGUGUGUGUAUAAUAGAUAAUCAUUUGAUGGUUUGUGUGUAGAGUUUUGAUGCAAAAACACAAUUUUGAGAAGAGUUAAAAUAGUUUGAAUGAAGUGUUUGGUUUUGAAGAGAUGUGUGACGUUUUGCAGGUUGUGUGUUUUGUGUGUAGCGUCUAGAGAAAAGGAGCCAUAGUUUCAGAAAUCAUGUUUAACCUUUCUGAACCACCCAUCCCGGAUCCGGGAUAAUUGUCAUCAGAAACGCUGACUAGCAUAGCCUAGCCUAGCGCC
Molecule: long non-coding RNA, 1817 nt
Organism: Salvelinus namaycush (lake trout)
Lineage: Eukaryota; Metazoa; Chordata; Actinopteri; Salmoniformes; Salmonidae
Exons: 4
Source: RefSeq, a predicted model, not a curated record